Molecule: long non-coding RNA, 1235 nt
Organism: Grammomys surdaster
Lineage: Eukaryota; Metazoa; Chordata; Mammalia; Rodentia; Muridae
Exons: 2
Source: RefSeq, a predicted model, not a curated record
CGGGUCUGUCCCCAGACACCUGGCUAAACUCAUAGUUAGCCAUUGGGCUCCUGGAAACUGGCCCAGGCUAGGCAGGAAGAGAGCACAGGGCUGGCUAGGUCAGAGCCUGCCCCUCCUCCUUUCUUUCACUUGCUUUUUAUCUGCUUCCUUUCCCACCCCCUGCUCCUGCUUUAAAGUUCCACGGGGGUGACUGGACUAAUAAGGUUUUUGAGUUGUCAACAGUCACUCCAACUGUUUACUUCCAGACUCCGGAGCACACUGACCGGAACCUCUCUCUCCAAGAGAAGACAGCACUUUAGCCUCUGCAGGAUGAAUCUCUCUACUUCAACUAGGCCAAUCUAGAAGAUCCCCCACAAACAUGCCAGUGACAUGUCUCCAAGAAGAUUCUAGAGUCAAUAUUAACGUUCACAGCAGACCUCAAGUUGUACCCUCUCCUGGCUGAACACUACAGAUGCCAGCAGAUGCCCUGGGACAAGGCAGAUCUCACAGGCUUGGAAAUGAACUAUCUAGCCACCAAAUUCAACUUUGGAGAGCUUCUUCUUGGCUUCCUUCCCACAAGGCUGGGCAUUUGCUAAGGGUGUGGUUGAUAAUGAUUGAGCUUUUUUUUUUUUUAAUUUGUAUUCUGAGAUUUAACUUGAAGUCCUUAAGCACUUGUUAGGCAAAUGGAUGGACAGCUCCCCCAGGUUACUCCCAGGAUUCAGUUUUUCCGAGGAGUGGAGGGUUAUUCCCACAUGUCACAUGUGAACUGUAGAUUUGAAAAUGGAACAUGAAAUGCUGCUCCUGUUUUGUUUCGUUUGUCUCCCUUAUCUCUGACCCUGUGCUGUUCUCCCACUUUCUUUUACCCGGUUGCCCUGUGUUUCUUUUCAUGUUGUCUGUAAGUGCAAAGUUCAAAAACAGUUACUGUAUAACAAGCCUCCUUUCCUCUCAAAUAAAAAGAUGCCUGUCCACCCCCCCAACCAUCCCUUUUAAAAGAGUAUUGUUAAUUUUUUCAAAGACAUGUUUUUGUUUGGUUUAUGUGUAUUAUGUGAGCAUGUAUGGGUUUAUAUGCACGAGGUGUGUUCAAGAGCCUGUGGAGGGCAAGAAGAAAGCACCAGAUUCCCUGAAGCUGUAGUUAUAAGAGGUUGUGAACCACCGUCGCAUACCAUCUGGUAUGCAAUUCAGAAUUUUUUUCAAGCACUCUUCUAUCUAGCCCUAUGUAUCUGCUUUUGGCAAUAAAUAUGAUAAAUACACAUGGA